Molecule: non-coding RNA, 119 nt
Organism: Xenopus tropicalis (tropical clawed frog)
Lineage: Eukaryota; Metazoa; Chordata; Amphibia; Anura; Pipidae
Source: Rfam
GCCUACGGUCAUACCACCCUGAAAGCGCCCGAUCUCGUUUAAUCUCGGAAGCUAAGCAGGGACGGGCUUGGUUAGUACCUGGAUGGGAGACCCCCUGGGAAUUCCAGGUGUUGUAGGCU